This 467-nucleotide ribosomal RNA is filed under the name uncultured bacterium. RNAcentral describes it as "partial 16S ribosomal RNA". It matches the Rfam family "Bacterial small subunit ribosomal RNA", at positions 28 to 507 of the family's 1533-position model. The record is from RNAcentral.
GAUGAACGCUGGCGGCGUGCUUAACACAUGCAAGUCGAACGGAAAGGCCCAAGCUUGCUUGGGUACUCGAGUGGCGAACGGGUGAGUAACACGUGGGUGAUCUGCCCUGCACUUUGGGAUAAGCCUGGGAAACUGGGUCUAAUACCGGAUAGGACCACUUCUUGGAUGUUGUGGUGGAAAGUUUUUUCGGUGUGGGAUGAGCUCGCGGCCUAUCAGCUUGUUGGUGGGGUAAUGGUCUACCAAGGCGUCGGCGGGUAGCCGGCCUGAGAGAGUGUACGGCGACAUUGGGACUGAGAUACGGCCCAGACUCCUACGGGAGGCAGCAGUGGGGAAUAUUGCACAAUGGGCGCAAGCCUGAUGCAGCGGCGCCGCGUGGGGGAUGACGGCCUUCGGGUUGUAAACUCCUUUCGCUAGGGACGAAGCGUUUUGUGACGGUACCUGGAGAAGAAGCACCGGCUAACUACGUG